Molecule: unclassified non-coding RNA, 353 nt
Filed under: soil metagenome
Description: partial contains 5.8S ribosomal RNA, internal transcribed spacer 2, and large subunit ribosomal RNA
Rfam family: 5.8S ribosomal RNA (bases 1-120)
Source: RNAcentral
GAUGAAGAACGCAGCGAAAUGCGAUAAGUAAUGUGAAUUGCAGAAUUCAGUGAAUCAUCGAAUCUUUGAACGCACAUUGCGCCCGCCAGUAUUCUGGCGGGCAUGCCUGUUCGAGCGUCAUUACAACCCUCAGGCCCCCGGGCCUGGCGUUGGGGAUCGGCGGAAGCCCCCUGCGGGCACAACGCCGUCCCCCAAAUACAGUGGCGGUCCCGCCGCAGCUUCCAUUGCGUAGUAGCUAACACCUCGCAACUGGAGAGCGGCGCGGCCACGCCGUAAAACACCCAACUUCUGAAUGUUGACCUCGAAUCAGGUAGGAAUACCCGCUGAACUUAAGCACAUCAAUAAGCGGAGGA